GACGAACGCUGGCGGCAUGCCUAAUACAUGCAAGUCGAGCGGACAGAAGGGAGCUUGCUCCCGAAAGUCAGCGGCGGACGGGUGAGUAACACGUGGGCAACCUGCCCCUUAGAUUGGGAUAACUUCGGGAAACCGAAGCUAAUACCGAAUAAUACAAGGAACCUCCUGGUUCUCUGUUGAAAGAUGGCCUUUGUGCUGUCACUAAGGGAUGGGCCCGCGGCGCAUUAGCUAGUUGGUAAGGUAACGGCUUACCAAGGCGACGAUGCGUAGCCGACCUGAGAGGGUGAUCGGCCACACUGGGACUGAGACACGGCGCAGACUCCUACGGGAGGCAGCAGUAGGGAAUCUUCCGCAAUGGACGAAAGUCUGACGGAGCAAUGCCGCGUGAGUGAGGAAGGCCUUCGGGUCGUAAAGCUCUGUUGUGAGGGAAGAACAUGUACCGGCGUAACUACCGGUACCGUGACGGUACCUCACCAGAAAGCCACGGCUAACUACGUGCCAGCCGCCGCGGUAA
This 514-nucleotide ribosomal RNA is filed under the name uncultured bacterium. Its description in RNAcentral is "partial 16S ribosomal RNA". It matches the Rfam family "Bacterial small subunit ribosomal RNA", at positions 28 to 523 of the family's 1533-position model. The record is from RNAcentral.